This is a non-coding RNA of Enterococcus sp. 3H8_DIV0648, 98 nucleotides long. The record is from Rfam. NCBI's taxonomy places the organism in Bacteria, Bacillati, Bacillota, Bacilli, Lactobacillales, Enterococcaceae.
UAUUACAAUAGAUGUAGGCUCAUUCGUGAGCUCAUCUAAGUAGAACGUUUCAGACUUUAGUGAGGCAUGAAACGAUUCGAUGCAGGCGUUAUCUGACG